RNAcentral lists this ribosomal RNA (499 nucleotides) under uncultured bacterium. RNAcentral's name for it is "bacterial SSU rRNA". It matches the Rfam family "Bacterial small subunit ribosomal RNA", at positions 899 to 1397 of the family's 1533-position model. The record is from RNAcentral.
ACUCAAAGGAAUUGACGGGGGCCCGCACAAGCGGUGGAGCAUGUGGUUCAAUUCGACGCAACGCGAAGAACCUUACCUGGGCUCGAACGGCUGGCUAACGAUCGUGGAAACACGGUUACUCCGCAAGGGGGUCCAGUCGAGGUGCUGCAUGGCUGUCGUCAGCUCGUGUCGUGAGAUGUUGGGUUAAGUCCCGCAACGAGCGCAACCCUUGUCCUGUGUUGCCACAUCGUAAGAUAGCACUCGCAGGAGACCGCCAGCGAUAAGCUGGAGGAAGGUGGGGAUGAUGUCAAGUCAUCAUGGCCUUUAUGUCCAGGGCUACACACGUGCUACAAUGGCCGGUACAAUGCGCUGCAAACCCGCGAGGGGGAGCCAAUCGCAAAAAACCGGUCUCAGUUCGGAUCGCAGGCUGCAACUCGCCUGCGUGAAGCUGGAAUCGCUAGUAAUGGCGUAUCAGAACGAUGCCGUGAAUACGUUCCCGGGCCUUGUACACACCGCCCGU